GUGCAGUUUCCAGUGUCAUCUUCAUCCAAAUGCAUGAAUGCAAGAUCCACAGCUUCCCUCUUCCAAUGAUCGCACAGCCUGUCUCCUUUAAGAUGUCCUUGGUUAUCUCUGUAAAACUUGACCUUAAGUUCUUCUGUCUGGGGAUCGCUCAUAAUAAUGCCAAAUGGACAGGCGUGUGAAUGCCUCCACGGUAACGACCAGAGGCAAACCGGCACAUACACGUUUGUAUUUCUCCUUCUUCAGCAUGAAGCCUUCCUUUUUCUCCCCUCUUUGUGGGAUCAGUGGGUUUGGGGUUUUUCUUGGUGGCAGAGCAGCGCCGUCACCGAGCAGCCGUCGCUGGCCUGAUAUGCAGCGGUGAAGUCUUCACUGGUUUCUCUUCUGCUCCUGUGUGCUUGCAGAAACCGGGCUGGCUCUUGAUUGGGAUUGUAGGCUGCAGAGGCUGGGGAAGGGCAGACAGCCUCGGGAGACACGCCGGAAAGGGCGGCUCCCUCGUGCUCCUCAGUGACUCAGGGUUUUGGCCACAUAGCUCCCCUCCUCCACCCUCGCUCAGCAGGCUGCAUCCGGGGCGGGGCUGGCAGGCAAAGAGGCUGUGUCACAGCCCUUCAGAGCCUCAAGCUGGGGUCCCUAGGGUUUCUGGACCUCAGAUCACUGUGAGGCAGGAGGUCCUCCACCCUCCCUCCGGCAACUCUGAAGUAUGGGAAGUGGGCUGAUGCGCUGGAACGUCGAUGCAGCCAGUGAUGUGUUUGAUGAGAAUGUAUUGAGAGUAAAGCUGCCCAGAAUCCAAGUGUGUGUCAUCUGAACUCUUGAAUCAUGGAUGGAAGAUGGUGAACCGAAACUUACAGAGCUCAAGUCACUUGACCAGGCUCCACCCCUACAAGAGGCAGCACGCAAACUAAAAACCAGGCGGCCUUUUCCAAAGCUUGUGCUCUGCUCCACUGCUGGAAGGAACCCUUCGGGGAAUUGAAGCAGCACUGAACAAAGGCCAUUUUUAAGAAGCGACACCAGAAACCUAAGGCGGGGUCCCCGGCUCAACAAGGAUCUCAUGUUUUGUGGGUCAGAGAUUCUUGUGUCGUGUCUGGGUGAGGUCAAAAACCAUGCAGAGACUUUCACUUCCUGUUCUGUGGCAGACAAGACAUCUGAAAAGCUCUCCUGCAGCAACACUUCUAGAUGCCAAGUAAAUCACAGCAAGUGCACUUUUAAAUGUGUUACUAAGAUCAUAAAAAUGAAGGAAAAUGCCCAAGCAUAUCCCCAACCCCUCACCCCACAACCACCACCACCACAAUAAACAAGUUGCUGACAGUGG
This 1303-nucleotide long non-coding RNA is filed under the name Homo sapiens (human). Its description in RNAcentral is "novel transcript". The record is from RNAcentral. Lineage: Eukaryota; Metazoa; Chordata; Mammalia; Primates; Hominidae.